Molecule: long non-coding RNA, 280 nt
Filed under: Mytilus galloprovincialis (Mediterranean mussel)
Lineage: Eukaryota; Metazoa; Mollusca; Bivalvia; Mytilida; Mytilidae
Source: RNAcentral
UUUGUUUUACUAUUAUAAUAGCUUUUAUUAUUAUUAUUAUUGCAGCACACGCAGAAACAAACUGUAAGAUAACACCUUACUUGUUACAGGACAUUUUAAGAAAAAAUGGUGGGUUGAAACUGAUUUUUCUAGCCAAACCUCGCGUUAACAUUGAAAAACUUACGUGUGUUACUAUGAAAUUCUACAAAUGUCUUGAUAUUUUGUUAAGAUCGAGUUGCCGUUCCAUUGACGUAUACCCAUCUUCUCCCUAGUUUGAUAUUAUUCGAACACACACACCAAC